Molecule: ribosomal RNA, 253 nt
Filed under: uncultured bacterium
Lineage: Bacteria
Description: partial 16S ribosomal RNA
Rfam family: Bacterial small subunit ribosomal RNA
Source: RNAcentral
CACGUAGGGUGCGAGCGUUGUCCGGAAUUAUUGGGCGUAAAGAGCUCGUAGGCGGUCCGUCACGUCGGAUGUGAAAUUCCAGGGCUCAACCCUGGACCUGCAUUCGAUACGGGCGGACUAGAGUUCGGUAGGGGAGACUGGAAUUCCUGGUGUAGCGGUGAAAUGCGCAGAUAUCAGGAGGAACACCGGUGGCGAAGGCGGGUCUCUGGGCAACAACUGACGCUGAGGAGCGAAAGCGUGGGGAGCGAACAGG